RNAcentral lists this ribosomal RNA (245 nucleotides) under uncultured bacterium. RNAcentral's name for it is "partial 16S ribosomal RNA". It matches the Rfam family "Bacterial small subunit ribosomal RNA", at positions 89 to 334 of the family's 1533-position model. The record is from RNAcentral.
UGGCGACCGGCAAACGGGUGCGGAACACGUACGCAACCUUCCCAAAACUGGGGAAUAGCCCUCCGAAAGGAGGAUUAAUACCCCGUAAGAUAAUGGAGUGGCAUCACUUUAUUAUUAUAGCUACGGCGGUUUUGGAUGGGCGUGCGCCUGAUUAGGUAGUUGGCGGGGUAACGGCCCACCAAGCCUGCGAUCAGUAACUGGUGUGAGAGCACGACCAGUCACACGGGCACUGAGACACGGGCCCG